UUGGUGUGAAGGAGGUCUUGUGUUCAAAUCUUGGCGUGGGCAUUAGUUUUGCUCGUGCGUCUAGGAGAGUUUGAGAUGGACUAAAAAUCUGAGUAGUGGAUUUAGUGGGGAGAUUGAUGGAGAGAAAUAAGGGAUUGGGGUGGUUAUCAAAUAUUCUGUUCAUCUUUUUUUUUCUUUUCUUUUUACUUUCCCAAAAAUCCCGACACCAUCUUGCCAUUUUUCUCUUCACUACUGCCGAAUUUCUACUCUCUUUCACCCUUCAUCUUCUUGAUUUUUCUUUUCCCACUCUGCCUCGUGUCGCUCCACGUUUGUUUGCGAUCGUUCGGUAAGUUUUAGAUAAGUGAUUCAUCUCCGUUUGUUAACUUUCUUCUGAAGUGUUUUCUUUAUUCUAAUUAGGGGAGGAUUCAAUGGCUC
RNAcentral lists this long non-coding RNA (414 nucleotides) under Gossypium raimondii (Peruvian cotton). RNAcentral describes it as "long non-coding RNA (GRAI_LNC007443)". The record is from RNAcentral. Lineage: Eukaryota; Viridiplantae; Streptophyta; Magnoliopsida; Malvales; Malvaceae.